Molecule: ribosomal RNA, 915 nt
Filed under: uncultured marine group I thaumarchaeote
Lineage: Archaea; Thermoproteati; Nitrososphaerota
Description: SSU rRNA
Rfam family: Archaeal small subunit ribosomal RNA
Source: RNAcentral
UUCCGGUUGAUCCUGCCGGACCUGACUGCUAUCGGAUUGAUACUAAGCCAUGCGAGUCUUUGCAGUAAUGCAAGGCAUACGGCUCAGUAACACGUAGUCAACUUACCCUAUGGACGAGGAUAAUCUCGGGAAACUGAGCAUAAUACUCGAUAGAUCAUAAUGCCUGGAAUGGUUUAUGGUUGAAAUGAUUCGUCGCCAUAGGAUGGGACUGCGGUCUAUCAGCUUGUUGGUGAGGUAAUGGCCCACCAAGGCGAUUACAGGUACGGGCUCUGAGAGGAGAAGCCCGGAGAUGGGUACUGAGACAAGGACCCAGGCCCUAUGGGGCGCAGCAGGCGAGAAAACUUUGCAAUGUGCGAAAGCACGACAAGGUUAAUCCGAGUGAUUUCUGCUAAAGAAAUCUUUUGCAAGUCAUAAAACCACUAGUGAAUAAGGGGUGGGCAAGUUCUGGUGUCAGCCGCCGCGGUAAAACCAGCACCUCAAGUGGUCAGGAGGAUUAUUGGGCCUAAAGCAUCCGUAGCCGGCUCUGUAAGUUUUCGGUUAAAUCCAUGUGCUCAACGCAUGGGCUGCCGAAAAUACUGCAUAGCUAGGGAGUGGGAGAGGUAGACGGUACUCGGUAGGAAGGGGUAAAAUCCUUUGAUCUAUCGAUGACCACCUGUGGCGAAGGCGGUCUACCAGAACACGUUCGACGGUGAGGGAUGAAAGCUGGGGGAGCAAACCGGAUUAGAUACCCGGGUAGUCCCAGCUGUAAACGAUGCAGACUCGAUGAUGCAUUGGCAUAUAGCCAGUGCAGUGUCGCAGGGAAGCCGUUAAGUCUGCCGCCUGGGAAGUACGUACGCAAGUGUGAAACUUAAAGGAAUUGGCGGGGGAGCACCACAAGGGGUGAAGCCUGCGGUUCAAUUGGACUCAACGCCGGGA